UACAGGGUCUUGCUCUGUUGACCAGACCGUGACCUCCUGGGUUGAAGUGAGGACUCAGCCUCCUGAGUAGCCGGGACUACAGGGUCUUGCUCUGUUGACCAGACCGUGACCUCCUGGGUUGAAGUGAGGACUCAGCCUCCUGAGUAGCCGGGACUACAGGUUCUUGUUCUGUCAUCCAGGCUGGAGUGCAGUCGUUAUCCAAGCUCACUGUCGCCUUAAACUACUGGGCUC
Pan troglodytes (chimpanzee) is the source of this 231-nucleotide long non-coding RNA. RefSeq lists it as uncharacterized. The transcript is spliced from 3 exons. NCBI's taxonomy places the organism in Eukaryota, Metazoa, Chordata, Mammalia, Primates, Hominidae. The record is from RefSeq and is a predicted model, not a curated record.